Molecule: ribosomal RNA, 254 nt
Filed under: uncultured bacterium
Lineage: Bacteria
Description: partial 16S ribosomal RNA
Rfam family: Bacterial small subunit ribosomal RNA
Source: RNAcentral
UACAGAGGUCUCAAGCGUUGUCCGGAUUUAUUGGGCGUAAAGAGCUCGUAGGCGGUUUGGUAAGUUGGAUGUGAAAUCUCCAGGCUCAACUUGGAGGGGUCAUUCGAUACUGCCAUGACUAGAGUUCGGUAGGGGAGUGUGGAAUUCCUGGUGGAGCGGUGAAAUGCGCAGAUAUCAGGAGGAACACCCGUAGCGAAGGCGGCACUCUGGGCCGGAACUGACGCUGAGGAGCGAAAGCGUGGGGAGCGAACAGG